RNAcentral lists this long non-coding RNA (2213 nucleotides) under Brassica napus (rape). RNAcentral's name for it is "long non-coding RNA (BNAP_LNC023800)". Lineage: Eukaryota; Viridiplantae; Streptophyta; Magnoliopsida; Brassicales; Brassicaceae. The record is from RNAcentral.
ACGGUAAGUCACCGACUUCAGGCGGGAUCUGACCGGAUAUCUGACCGGCGAAUAUGGUUAGGGAGAUGACGCGGUGGUUAACGGUGGCGUCGCCGCAUUCGAGGCAGUACCAGGAGCAGCAGUCGGUUUCGGGGUGCCACGAGGCGAGGUGGUAAGGGUUGUUUAGGGACUUCUUGAUCUUGAGGAGGGUCUUUUUGUCGUUUUGGUUACAUUGAUCUUUUGAUGACGCGUUCGCGAGGUGUGUGAUGAAAAACAAGAGCGAGAAAAGCAGUGUCGAAUGUAUUUUAUUAUCCAUGUUGUAUGGUUUUGAUUUUGAGUUUUUGUUCUUGAAAGUGUGACAGUGAUAUAUACACACUAGAGAUUAGAGAUUUGAUUUGAUAGGAACCUUAAUAGUCAAUACGUAUGCUCAAGAUGUCGGUGUUGAAUUUGGUUGGCUAGUGCAAAACUAGUGGCUGUCCACAUGUGCCACUUGAGUACUACUACUCUCUCCAUCACGGCUUCUUUUUUUGAAAAAGGGCUUUCCGGGCUAUUUAUUUUAUGGGAAAUUGGGUGAGAUAACAUAAAAAAAAACCAUAAUUCACUAUUUAACUAAAAUUUCAUUAUCUCUCAUCUUUUCUCUUUCUAUCUCUCUCUACUUUUUCUCUACAAGACUAAUUUUUCUUUUUUUCUUAGCUAUUUCACAAAUAAAUCUUUAUUUUAUUUUAUUUUUCUAAAAAAUUAUUCGUAUACUUAUAUAGUUAUAUAAAUUAUGGUUUACAAUACCACAUGAAAGACUUUAAAGCUUCAGCAUAUCAGAUUUACUUUUGAUAAAAUUUGAAACAAUAACCACGAAUAGUAUAUAUUGUUUUAUUUAUUUAAAAACUGGAGGUUGGAUUCGAAAAUUUAGAUGCACCAAAAAAAAAAAUAUACUAGAAACAAGUUUGGUUGAUUAACAAAAAGUUUUGAAGAUUAUACAACAAAUUUAUCAAAGCAAGUUUGGUUGAUUAUUUUUAUUAAUCAAUCCAAAUAAAGAUACAGUUGUUUAUAGACUUAUUGGAUUAUUUGUAGAAGUAUAAUAAUAAUAGCUUGGCUGCUUGAAUCUUUUACUUGCAACUAUCAAGAGGUGCACCACACAAACACUUGUUGUGAAAAUAGGAAUAAGUAUCGAAUUCCUGAAGUGUCCCUCCUGUGGGGAUGUGUCCACACAAUCUGUUAUAGCUAACAUUGAAGAACUGAAGAGGAGCUUCGGUCCACUGAACCGGGAUAUUCCCUGUGAUUCCGUUGUGGUUCAAGUCCAAGAUACCAAGUGUCUUAGGGAUCACAACUCUAGAGAGAUCGAACUGUAACAUGUUUCUUGAUAAAUCAAUGUACCACGUCGUUUUGUUGGCUCCAAACAACAUCGAAGCAUCGCCUCCGAGCUUGUUCCGAGAGAAAUCUAUCCGGUUAAAAUCAAGAUUGCCUAGUGUUUUUGGUAUAUAACCGGAGAGCUGGUUGUGUGAUAGGUAAAGAUCAGGUACUUUUGCUGGAAACGACCCAAAUGACUCUGGUAUAGAACCUGCUUGCAUGAAAAGUUUCAUAAUCAGGUUUAGAAAGAAAGGUAAAUAAAUGCCCUUUUUACAAAAAAAAAAAAUAGAAAGGUAAAUAGGUAAAAAGAGAAAAAGAGAGUUUAUUUACCUGUAAGCUUGUUCCUGAUCCUGCUGAGAUCAAGGGACAAAAGAUUAGGUAACAAAGAUAGAGAACUCGGUACUGAACCAGAGAGAUCGUUGAAGGAAAGGUCUAUGAACUGGAGAUUCUUGAGCUCACUGAGAAAACCAGGAACCGGACCGGUCAGAUUCGUCCAGCUGAGCCUGAGGCUCCGGAGAUACUUGAGCUUGGUGAUGGUGCGUGGGAUCUGACCGGUGAGGUUAGUGAGUUUGCGGAAGACAAGGGUCUGUAGAUAAGACAAGUCACCAACCUCAGGCGGGAUCUGACCGGAGAUCUGACCGGAAAAUAUGGUUAGGGCGGUGACGCGGUGGUUAACGGUGGCGUCGCCGCACUCGAGGCAGUACCAGGAGCAACAGUCUGUUUGAGGGUCCCACGAGGCGAGGUGGUAAGGGUUGUUUAGGGCUUUCUUGAUCUUGAGGAGGGUGGUUUUGUCAUCUUGGUUACAUAGGUUUUUAGAGAAAGAAGUCGUGAGGAAUGUGAACAUGGAGAAGAACAAAAGCAGUGUCGUUGUCUUAUCCAUGCUGUCGUUG